Molecule: long non-coding RNA, 331 nt
Filed under: Gossypium raimondii (Peruvian cotton)
Lineage: Eukaryota; Viridiplantae; Streptophyta; Magnoliopsida; Malvales; Malvaceae
Description: long non-coding RNA (GRAI_LNC010563)
Source: RNAcentral
UUUGCCUGACAUUUUCUUUUUGUAUCAUUUUGGUCCACAUCAAAGUGCUGCGUUUUGAGGGAAGGGAAUAUUUCCCGUUUGGCCCUCAUGUUAUUCGCACGUUAUGCUCUGGCCCUUCAUUUUGUUUUGUUUUUGUUUUUUUUCCCUUUUAAUUUUUUUUGAGUUCAAUUUAAUCCCUACUAAUUUAAUGCGCUUGAUUUUCUUUAAAUUUUAUUUAAGCAUUUAUUAUUCCUUUAUUUUUAAUGUAUUUAAUUUUAAAAUUAAUAUUAUUUUAAUGAUCAAGCUCAAUAUUAUUUUAAAUUUAUUGUUAACAUUGUUUAAAUUUAUUGUA